GUUUGUUCAGCCAAUCAGAAGGCUUUCAGGCGCUUUCUGUCGCGUGCACAGUGGCCAGUGAAACCGGAAGCUGAGCUUGGAGAAUUUUCGUGAGUUUAGAGAGUGUAAAAUGUUCCAGAUUUUUCACCCGUCAACAACGGCCUACACAGCCAAACCGCCUAAAAGACAUAGUAAAAUAAAGAAACCAAAUCAGGAAGAAAACAGCUGCACAUUGGUAAAGCUGUCAUGUUUUGAGGGAGGCGCAGCAGAUCAUGUGCUACACAACUUCGGACCGUACGAAGUCGCCGAGAUGAGGACAUGCAGAGUCCAAUGAUGCUUCUGAGGAAGUGCGUUGCUCUUUGAAGUGAGGAAGGAAGGUUGAGAGAGCUCUCUCCAGCACAUGCCUCCCUCAUUAGUGUCCAGCAGCUGAAGACUCGAGGUCACAAACCCAAUGAACUGCCCAUUUCAUUCAGCUUUGCCGACAUGGAAAGAUGACCACUGUGACCUAAUGUUGCAGUAUGGUCUGACAGCACAUUGUACACAACAUACAAAGUAGCUUGAAUAACCCUUGAAUCUUGUGUGGAGUGCAUUAUUUUUUAUGAAAUUGCUGUAGUGUCCAACUUUUCAGCAUGCUUGUAGAUUUUAUUCAUUCCAUAAAUUGUGCAUUUUUCUAAAAAAAAAAAAAAGGGAACAGGUCUUGUGAUUUAUUUGCUGAACUGUGGGUGAUGAAAUAUUUAAUAUCCUGGGUAUUAAAAUGAUCAGUCUCGGAUCUAUUGAGAGGGUUGACAUGGUUGAAUCAGAACCACACUAAGGAACUGCUGCACAGGGAAUUAUUGCUUCAGUCUGAACAUGUCACCUCUACAAUAUUUCUAUGAUUAUAAUGUACAAUUAUCCUUUUUUUUUUCGUUCUCGGAUCUAAGUUUUCUCUAGCUUGUCAUUGUUAAAAGAUUUAAAGUACACAAUAUGAAAGAACAAUAAAGUCUAGACUCAAUGUCAUUGCUUGGAUUUGAUUUAUACACUUAAGUAUUUCACAUGCAUAAUGCAAAGUAGAGCUCUCACACUUACUGUACACAUAAUGUGACUAAGGUAAAAUGAGCAAGAUAAAAUUUCAUGUUUUAAUGCCCCAGAAAAGCUGGUUG
This 1118-nucleotide long non-coding RNA is filed under the name Sinocyclocheilus anshuiensis. RNAcentral's name for it is "lncRNA (ENSSANG00000005303.1)". The record is from RNAcentral. Lineage: Eukaryota; Metazoa; Chordata; Actinopteri; Cypriniformes; Cyprinidae.